This 501-nucleotide ribosomal RNA is filed under the name uncultured Pseudomonadota bacterium. Its description in RNAcentral is "bacterial SSU rRNA". It matches the Rfam family "Bacterial small subunit ribosomal RNA", at positions 8 to 525 of the family's 1533-position model. The record is from RNAcentral. Lineage: Bacteria; Pseudomonadati; Pseudomonadota.
AGAGUUUGAUCCUGGCUCAGGAUGAACGCUGGCGGCGUGCCUAACACAUGCAAGUCAAGGAGAAGGUAACCUUCGGGGAACCGGAUACUGGCGCACGGGUGAGUAACACGUGGAUAAUCUGCCCUUUACACAGACAUAACUCAGGGAAACUUGAGCUAAUAUCUGAUGAGGCCUCCGGGUCAAAGCUUCGGCGGUAAAGGAUGAGUCUGCGUCUGAUUAGCUAGUUGGUAAGGUAAUGGCUUACCAAGGCGACGAUCAGUAACUGGUCUGAGAGGACGAUCAGUCACACUGGAACUGAGACACGGUCCAGACUCCUACGGGAGGCAGCAGUGAGGAAUUUUGGACAAUGGGGGAAACCCUGAUCCAGCGACGCCGCGUGUGGGAUGAAUGGGUUAUGCCCUGUAAACCACUGUCAGCAGAGAAGAAAAGGUUCCUUUGGAACCCGGGACUGUAUCUGCAGAGGAAGGACCGGCUAACUACGUGCCAGCAGCCGCGGUAAUA